AUUUUCUUCUCUUCUCUUCUCUUCCAGUAGGUGGAGUUGUCUAUUCCAAGCUUUUGUCUCUGCCCUUAGGGUGGUGGAGGUAACCAGUGUGAGAAGACUUGAGCUCUCCCUCUCCUGCCUGGAGCUUCCCUAAUCUUGGUCUCUCUGAGUUGCUCCUGAUUUUUAGACCCCUCCCCUCUCUUACUUAUCAAGUCUCAGCUGCAGGACCUCUCGCCCUCCACCCUCAGAUCACACCAGGUGGGCAGCUCCCUAGUUGCACUGCGCACCUGUUCAACUGAGAGCUGUUUUUGUGUUGGAUAGUCACUGUGCCAAAUUAUCACAACUGGGGGGAGGGGAGUUGGAAACCAGGUACCUGUUCAGUCACAGAUCCACGCUGGUAGCUAUGCCCACCAAAAGAUGGCGAGAAAGGUUUUCCAAGAUGGA
This 423-nucleotide long non-coding RNA is filed under the name Marmota monax (woodchuck). Lineage: Eukaryota; Metazoa; Chordata; Mammalia; Rodentia; Sciuridae. The record is from RNAcentral.